CCUACGGGAGGCAGCAGUGGGGAAUCUCGCACAAUGGAGGAAACUCUGAUGCAGCGAUGCCGCGUGAGUGAAGAAGGCCUUUGGGUUGUAAAGCUCUUUCGUCGGGGAAGAAAAUGACCGUACCCGAAUAAGAAGGUCCGGCUAACUUCGUGCCAGCAGCCGCGGUAAUACGAAGGGACCUAGCGUAGUUCGGAAUUACUGGGCUUAAAGAGUUCGUAGGUGGUUGAAAAAGUUGGUGGUGAAAUCCCAGAGCUUAACUCUGGAACUGCCAUCAAAACUUUUCAGCUAGAGUAUGAUAGAGGAAAGCAGAAUUUCUAGUGUAGAGGUGAAAUUCGUAGAUAUUAGAAAGAAUACCAAUUGCGAAGGCAGCUUUCUGGAUCAUUACUGACGCUGAGGAACGAAAGCAUGGGUAGCGAAGAGGAUUAGAUACCCUCGUAGUCCAUGCCGUAAACGAUGUGUGUUAGACGUUGGAAAUUUAUUUUCAGUGUCGCAGCGAAAGCGAUAAACACACCGCCUGGGGAGUACGACCGCAAGGUUAAAACUCAAAUGAAUUGACGG
This 558-nucleotide ribosomal RNA is filed under the name uncultured bacterium. RNAcentral describes it as "bacterial SSU rRNA". It matches the Rfam family "Bacterial small subunit ribosomal RNA", at positions 338 to 916 of the family's 1533-position model. The record is from RNAcentral.